This 207-nucleotide unclassified non-coding RNA is filed under the name Hevea brasiliensis (rubber tree). The record is from RNAcentral. Lineage: Eukaryota; Viridiplantae; Streptophyta; Magnoliopsida; Malpighiales; Euphorbiaceae.
UUAUAUUGUGAAGAAAAUCUUGCGUUUGGAUAUUCCUGUUGAUAGUUAUCCAAAUUUCAAUUUUGUAGGCCGGCUUUUGGGACCUAGGGGCAAUUCGUUGAAGCGAGUGGAAGCUUCUACAGGGUGUCGGGUGUAUAUUAGAGGAAAAGGUUCAAUAAAAGACCCAGAGAAGGAAGAGUCAUUAAGGGGAAGACCAGGCUAUGAGCA